This 452-nucleotide ribosomal RNA is filed under the name uncultured bacterium. RNAcentral's name for it is "SSU rRNA". It matches the Rfam family "Bacterial small subunit ribosomal RNA", at positions 26 to 518 of the family's 1533-position model. The record is from RNAcentral.
AGGAUAAACGCUGGCGGCGUGCCUAACACAUGCAAGUCGAACGCUCUUGGCAACAAGAGAGUGGCGGACGGGUGAGGAACACGUGGGUGAUCUACCUUGGGGUGAGGAAUACCGGCGAGAAAUCGCCGACAAGACCGCAUACGCUCAGCAAUGAGCAAAGUCGUAAGACGCCACAAGAUGAGCCUGCGGCCGAUUAGCUAGCUGGUGGGGUAAAGGCCUACCAGGGCAACGAUCGGUAGCUGGUCUGAGAGGACGAUCAGCCACACUGGGAUUGAGAACGGCCCAGACUCCUACGGGGGCAGCAGUGAGGAAUUUUCGUCAAUGGGGGCAACCCUGAACGAGCAACGCCGCGUGCAGGAAGAAGGUUUUCGGAUCGUAAACUGCUUUUCUGUGGGAAGAGAACGGACGGUACCACAGGAAGAAGCCCCGGCUAACUACGUGCCAGCAGCCGC